GUUUGCCUGUGUUUGGAUGGUGUUCAGUACCAAGGGACAGGCGCGUUUACCUGUGUGUGGAUGGUGUUCAGCACCAAGGACAGGUCUGUUUGCUU
Molecule: microRNA precursor, 95 nt
Filed under: Branchiostoma floridae (Florida lancelet)
Lineage: Eukaryota; Metazoa; Chordata; Leptocardii; Amphioxiformes; Branchiostomatidae
Description: mir-2060 microRNA precursor family
Rfam family: mir-2060 microRNA precursor family
Source: Rfam by way of RNAcentral